Molecule: long non-coding RNA, 861 nt
Filed under: Gallus gallus (chicken)
Lineage: Eukaryota; Metazoa; Chordata; Aves; Galliformes; Phasianidae
Description: long non-coding RNA NONGGAT007996
Source: RNAcentral
AAAGGACAUGAACCAUUUUGGCUGGUUUGCAAUGACAUUUCAAGAACAGGAUUGUCUGUGAAAGACCGGUUCCACAAAGACAAGGUCCCUGAGUGACGUGGCAGGCAACAGAAGAACAAGAGUCAAGUUUUGAUGAAUAACAGAGAAAGCAGAACGUACCCAUAGGGCAGCACUGAAGUCCAACAGUGGAAGAACAGCAUGACAUGGACCACAGCCCUGUGACAUUACAAGCGUGUAUUACAGCUGCCAGAUGGGCUCAGCUGACUCAUGCUCAGGAUCACUCCGACCAGCAGAUGUGAGGGAAGGAUGGAAUUUUGCCCAUGGUGUUAUUUUCUGCUUUCUUUCUGUACAACAGGAAAUAAUUUGCCUGCUGAAUGGGUCCAGUGUAUCUUUCCACGUCCAUUUCUUGACAAAUGAAGGACUCUCAGGCACCAGCAGCACCCCCAUGUUCUUUGCUUACGGUCACUACCAACCUGAAGAACCAGUCUUUUACAUCCUCUUAACAUUAUAGAAACAACAACAAAAGCCCUAAACUUUAAGUCUUUGCGCCAGCCCUAAAGCACACAGGCAUAACACAAGACCUAUGAUAGCCAAGAAGUCAGGCUCCAGCUACAGUUCUAAGAAGCACUGAGCUAUUUUUAACUCUUUAUUAUAAAGCCCUAUGGGGAUAGAUUCAUAGCGUUAUUUAUUAUCAUUAUUUUUAUUGUUAUUGGGAGAACACUAUUUUAAGGGAAAAAAGAAGCAUGACAAAUGAAGACCACGAUUUCUUAGGAUACCAGAAGUUCCCACUUCUUUAUGUAUCCUGUAAAUUAGUGCUCAUUUUCCGACAGAGGAAAAAAAACAACAACAAAAAAACUGGGG